RNAcentral lists this ribosomal RNA (492 nucleotides) under uncultured bacterium. RNAcentral's name for it is "partial 16S ribosomal RNA". It matches the Rfam family "Bacterial small subunit ribosomal RNA", at positions 29 to 507 of the family's 1533-position model. The record is from RNAcentral.
AGUGAACGCUGGCGGUAGGCCUAACACAUGCAAGUCGAACGGCAGCACAGUAAGAGCUUGCUCUUACGGGUGGCGAGUGGCGGACGGGUGAGGAAUACAUCGGAAUCUACUUUUUCGUGGGGGAUAACGUAGGGAAACUUACGCUAAUACCUCAUACGACCUACGGGUGAAAGCAGGGGAUCUUCGGACCUUGCGCGAUUGAAUGAGCCGAUGUCGGAUUAGCUAGUUGGCGGGGUAAAGGCCCACCAAGGCGACGAUCCGUAGCUGGUCUGAGAGGAUGAUCAGCCACACUGGAACUGAGACACGGUCCAGACUCCUACGGGAGGCAGCAGUGGGGAAUAUUGGACAAUGGGCGAAAGCCUGAUCCAGCCAUACCGCGUGGGUGAAGAAGGCCUUCAGGUUGUAAAGCCCUUUUGUUGGGAAAGAAAAGCAGCAGGUUAAUACCCCGCUGUUCUGACGGUACCCAAAGAAUAAGCACCGGCUAACUUCGUG